GGGUUGUGAGGUUAAGCGACUAAGCGUACACGGUGGAUGCCCUGGCAGUCAGAGGCGAUGAAGGGCGUGCUAAUCUGCGAUAAGCGCCGGUAAGGUGAUAUGAACCGUUAUAACCGGCGAUACCCGAAUGGGGAAACCCAGUGUGACUCGUCACACUAUCAUUAACUGAAUCCAUAGGUUAAUGAGGCGAACCGGGGGAACUGAAACAUCUAAGUACCCCGAGGAAAAGAAAUCAACCGAGAUUCCCCCAGUAGCGGCGAGCGAACGGGGAGGAGCCCAGAGCCUGAAUCAGCAUGUGUGUUAGUGGAAGCGUCUGGAAAGGCGCGCGAUACAGGGUGACAGCCCCGUACACAAAAGCGCAUGUGCUGUGAGCUCGAUGAGUAGGGCGGGACACGUGGUAUCCUGUCUGAAUAUGGGGGGACCAUCCUCCAAGGCUAAAUACUCCUGACUGACCGAUAGUGAACCAGUACCGUGAGGGAAAGGCGAAAAGAACCCCGGCGAGGGGAGUGAAAAAGAACCUGAAACCGUGUACGUACAAGCAGUGGGAGCACAGGUUUAUGGGGUGACUGCGUACCUUUUGUAUAAUGGGUCAGCGACUUAUAUUCUGUAGCAAGGUUAACCGAAUAGGGGAGCCGGAGGGAAACCGAGUCUUAACCGGGCGUUAAGUUGCAGGGUAUAGACCCGAAACCCGGUGAUCUAGCCAUGGGCAGGUUGAAGGUUGGGUAACACUAACUGGAGGACCGAACCGACUAAUGUUGAAAAAUUAGCGGAUGACCUGUGGCUGGGGGUGAAAGGCCAAUCAAACCGGGAGAUAGCUGGUUCUCCCCGAAAGCUAUUUAGGUAGCGCCUCGUGAAUUCAUCUCCGGGGGUAGAGCACUGUUUCGGCUAGGGGGCCAUCCCGGCUUACCAACCCGAUGCAAACUGCGAAUACCGGAGAAUGUUAUCACGGGAGACACACGGCGGGUGCUAACGUCCGUCGUGAAGAGGGAAACAACCCAGACCGCCAGCUAAGGUCCCAAAGUCAUGGUUAAGUGGGAAACGAUGUGGGAAGGCCCAGACAGCCAGGAUGUUGGCUUAGAAGCAGCCAUCAUUUAAAGAAAGCGUAAUAGCUCACUGGUCGAGUCGGCCUGCGCGGAAGAUGUAACGGGGCUAAACCAUGCACCGAAGCUGCGGCAGCGACACUAUGUGUUGUUGGGUAGGGGAGCGUUCUGUAAGCCUGUGAAGGUGGCCUGUGAGGGUUGCUGGAGGUAUCAGAAGUGCGAAUGCUGACAUAAGUAACGAUAAAGCGGGUGAAAAGCCCGCUCGCCGGAAGACCAAGGGUUCCUGUCCAACGUUAAUCGGGGCAGGGUGAGUCGACCCCUAAGGCGAGGCCGAAAGGCGUAGUCGAUGGGAAACGGGUUAAUAUUCCCGUACUUGGUGUUACUGCGAAGGGGGGACGGAGAAGGCUAUGUUGGCCGGGCGACGGUUGUCCCGGUUUAAGCGUGUAGGUGUGUGUUCCAGGUAAAUCCGGUUCACUUUAACACUGAGGCGUGACGACGAGGCACUACGGUGCUGAAGCAACAAAUGCCCUGCUUCCAGGAAAAGCCUCUAAGCAUCAGGUAACAUCAAAUCGUACCCCAAACCGACACAGGUGGUCAGGUAGAGAAUACCAAGGCGCUUGAGAGAACUCGGGUGAAGGAACUAGGCAAAAUGGUGCCGUAACUUCGGGAGAAGGCACGCUGACACGUAGGUGAAGUGAUUUACUCACGGAGCUGAAGUCAGUCGAAGAUACCAGCUGGCUGCAACUGUUUAUUAAAAACACAGCACUGUGCAAACACGAAAGUGGACGUAUACGGUGUGACGCCUGCCCGGUGCCGGAAGGUUAAUUGAUGGGGUCAGCGCAAGCGAAGCUCCUGAUCGAAGCCCCGGUAAACGGCGGCCGUAACUAUAACGGUCCUAAGGUAGCGAAAUUCCUUGUCGGGUAAGUUCCGACCUGCACGAAUGGCGUAAUGAUGGCCAGGCUGUCUCCACCCGAGACUCAGUGAAAUUGAACUCGCUGUGAAGAUGCAGUGUACCCGCGGCAAGACGGAAAGACCCCGUGAACCUUUACUAUAGCUUGACACUGAACAUUGAGCCUUGAUGUGUAGGAUAGGUGGGAGGCUUUGAAGUGUGGACGCCAGUCUGCAUGGAGCCGACCUUGAAAUACCACCCUUUAAUGUUUGAUGUUCUAACGUGGACCCGUAAUCCGGGUUGCGGACAGUGUCUGGUGGGUAGUUUGACUGGGGCGGUCUCCUCCUAAAGAGUAACGGAGGAGCACGAAGGUUGGCUAAUCCUGGUCGGACAUCAGGAGGUUAGUGCAAUGGCAUAAGCCAGCUUGACUGCGAGCGUGACGGCGCGAGCAGGUGCGAAAGCAGGUCAUAGUGAUCCGGUGGUUCUGAAUGGAAGGGCCAUCGCUCAACGGAUAAAAGGUACUCCGGGGAUAACAGGCUGAUACCGCCCAAGAGUUCAUAUCGACGGCGGUGUUUGGCACCUCGAUGUCGGCUCAUCACAUCCUGGGGCUGAAGUAGGUCCCAAGGGUAUGGCUGUUCGCCAUUUAAAGUGGUACGCGAGCUGGGUUUAGAACGUCGUGAGACAGUUCGGUCCCUAUCUGCCGUGGGCGCUGGAGAACUGAGGGGGGCUGCUCCUAGUACGAGAGGACCGGAGUGGACGCAUCACUGGUGUUCGGGUUGUCAUGCCAAUGGCACUGCCCGGUAGCUAAAUGCGGAAGAGAUAAGUGCUGAAAGCAUCUAAGCACGAAACUUGCCCCGAGAUGAGUUCUCCCUGAGACUACGAGUCUCCUGAAGGAACGUUGAAGACGACGACGUUGAUAGGCCGGGUGUGUAAGCGCAGCGAUGCGUUGAGCUAACCGGUACUAAUGAACCGUGAGGCUUAACCUUACAACGCCGAAG
This 2927-nucleotide ribosomal RNA is filed under the name Salmonella enterica subsp. enterica serovar Mikawasima. RNAcentral's name for it is "23S ribosomal RNA". It matches the Rfam family "Bacterial large subunit ribosomal RNA". Lineage: Bacteria; Pseudomonadati; Pseudomonadota; Gammaproteobacteria; Enterobacterales; Enterobacteriaceae. The record is from RNAcentral.